GAUGAACGCUGGCGGCGUACCUAAUACAUGCAAGUCGAGCGAACGGACGAGAAGCUUGCUUCUCUGAUGUUAGCGGCGGACGGGUGAGUAACACGUGGAUAACCUACCUAUAAGACUGGGAUAACUUCGGGAAACCGGAGCUAAUACCGGAUGAUAUUUUGAACCGCAUGGUUCAAAAGUGAAAGACGGUCUUGCUGUCACUUAUAGAUGGAUCCGCGCUGCAUUAGCUAGUUGGUAAGGUAACGGCUUACCAGGGCAACGAUGCAUAGCCGACCUGAGAGGGUGAUCGGCCACACUGGAACUGAGACACGGUCCAGACUCCUACGGGAGGCAGCAGUAGGGAAUCUUCCGCAAUGGGCGAAAGCCUGACGGAGCAACGCCGCGUGAGUGAUGAAGGUCUUCGGAUCGUAAAACUCUGUUAUUAGGGAAGAACAUAUGUGUAAGUAACUGUGCACAUCUUGACGGUACCUAAUCAGAAAGCCACGGCUAACUACGUG
RNAcentral lists this ribosomal RNA (497 nucleotides) under uncultured bacterium. RNAcentral's name for it is "partial 16S ribosomal RNA". It matches the Rfam family "Bacterial small subunit ribosomal RNA", at positions 28 to 507 of the family's 1533-position model. The record is from RNAcentral.